Molecule: ribosomal RNA, 329 nt
Filed under: uncultured eukaryote
Lineage: Eukaryota
Description: partial 18S ribosomal RNA
Rfam family: Eukaryotic small subunit ribosomal RNA
Source: RNAcentral
CCCUUAGAUGUUCUGGGCCGCACGCGCGCUACACUGACAGGGCCAGCGAGUACAUCACCUUAACCGAGAGGUUUGGGUAAUCUUGUUAAACCCUGUCGUGCUGGGGAUAGAGCAUUGCAAUUAUUGCUCUUCAACGAGGAAUGCCUAGUAGGCACGAGUCAUCAGCUCGUGCCGAUUACGUCCCUGCCCUUUGUGCACACCGCCCGUCGCUACUACCGAUUGAAUGGCUCAGUGAGGCCUUGGGAUUGGCUUAGGAGGGUUGGCAACGACCCCCCAGAGCCGAAAACUUGGUCAAACUCGGUCAUUUAGAGGAAGUAAAAGUCGUAACA